Molecule: ribosomal RNA, 253 nt
Filed under: uncultured bacterium
Lineage: Bacteria
Description: partial 16S ribosomal RNA
Rfam family: Bacterial small subunit ribosomal RNA
Source: RNAcentral
UACGGAGGGAGCUAGCGUUGUUCGGAAUUACUGGGCGUAAAGCGCACGUAGGCGGCUCAGCAAGUCAGGGGUGAAAUCCCGGGGCUCAACCCCGGAACUGCCCUUGAAACUGCUAAGCUAGAAUCCUGGAGAGGCGAGUGGAAUUCCGAGUGUAGAGGUGAAAUUCGUAGAUAUUCGGAAGAACACCAGUGGCGAAGGCGACUGACUGGACAAGUAUUGACGCUGAGGUGCGAAAGCGUGGGGAGCAAACAGG